Molecule: ribosomal RNA, 799 nt
Filed under: uncultured Alcaligenes sp.
Lineage: Bacteria; Pseudomonadati; Pseudomonadota; Betaproteobacteria; Burkholderiales; Alcaligenaceae
Description: bacterial SSU rRNA
Rfam family: Bacterial small subunit ribosomal RNA
Source: RNAcentral
UCCGGGAAGGCAGCCAGUGGGGGAAUUUUUGGACCAAUGGGGGGAAACCCCUGAUUCCAGCCCAUCCCCGCGUGUAUGAUGAAGGCCUUUCGGGGUUGUAAAAGUACUUUUGGCAAGAGAAGAAAAAGGUAUCUCCUUAAUACGGGGAUACUGCUGACGGUAUUUGCAGAAUAAGCACCGGCUAACUACGUGCUCAGCAGCCGCGGGUAAUACGUAGGGUGCAAAGCGUUAAAUCGGGAAUUACUGGGCGUAAAGCGUGUGUAGGCGGUUCGGAAAGAAAGAUGUGAAAUCCCAGGGCUCAACCUUGGAACUGCAUUUUUUAACUGCCGAGCUAGAGUAUGUCAGAGGGGGGUAGAAUUCCACGUGUAGCAGUGAAAUGCGUAGAUAUGNUGGAGGAAUACCGAUGGCGNAAGGCAGCCCCCUGGGAUAAUACUGACGCUCAGACACGAAAGCGUGGGGAGCAAANAGGAAAAGAAAGGCUGGUAGUCCACGCCCUAAACGAUGUCAACUUNCUUUGAUGGGGCCGUUAGGCCUUAGUAGCGCAGCUAACGCGUGAAGUUGACCGCCUGGGGAGUACGGUCGCAAGAUUAAAACUCAAAGGAAUUGACGGGGACCCGCACAAGCGGUGGAUGAUGUGGAUUAAUUCGAUGCAACGCGAAAAACCUUACCUACCCUUGACAUGUCUGGAAAGCCGAAGAGAUUUGGCCGUGCUCGCAAGAGAACCGGAACACAGGNUGCUGCAUGGCUGUNCGUCNAGCUNCGUNGUCGUGAGAUGUUGGGUUAAGUCCCGCAACGAGCG